GUAACUGAACAAGUCUUGACGGUACCUAACCAGAAAGCCACGGCUAACUACGUGCCAGCAGCCGCGGUAAUACGUAGGUGGCAAGCGUUAUCCGGAAUUAUUGGGCGUAAAGCGCGCGUAGGCGGUUUCUUAAGUCUGAUGUGAAAGCCCACGGCUCAACCGUGGAGGGUCAUUGGAAACUGGGGAACUUGAGUGCAGAAGAGGAGAGUGGAAUUCCAUGUGUAGCGGUGAAAUGCGCAGAGAUAUGGAGGAACACCAGUGGCGAAGGCGGCUCUCUGGUCUGUAACUGACGCUGAUGUGCGAAAGCGUGGGGAUCAAACAGGAUUAGAUACCCUGGUAGUCCACGCCGUAAACGAUGAGUGCUAAGUGUUAGGGGGUUUCCGCCCCUUAGUGCUGCAGCUAACGCAUUAAGCACUCCGCCUGGGGAGUACGACCGCAAGGUUGAAACUCAAAGGAAUUGACGGGGACCCGCACAAGCGGUGGASMAUGUGGUUUAAUUCGAAGCAACGCGAAGAACCUUACCAAAUCUUGACAUCCUUUGAUCGCUCUAGAGAUAGAGUUUUCCCCUUCGGGGGACAAAGUGACAGGUGGUGCAUGGUUGUCGUCAGCUCGUGUCGUGAGAUGUUGGGUUAAGUCCCGCAACGAGCGCAACCCUUAAGCUUAGUUGCCAUCAUUAAGUUGGGCACUCUAGGUUGACUGCCGGUGACAAACCGGAGGAAGGUGGGGAUGACGUCAAAUCAUCAUGCCCCUUAUGAUUUGGGCUACACACGUGCUACAAUGGAUAAUACAAAGGGCAGCGAACCCGCGAGGUCAAGCAAAUCCCAUAAAAUUAUUCUCAGUUCGGAUUGUAGUCUGCAACUCGACUACAUGAAGCUGGAAUCGCUAGUAAUCGUAGAUCAGCAUGCUACGGUGAAUACGUUCCCGGGUCUUGUACACACCGCCCGUCACACCACGAGAGUUUGUAACACCCGAAGCCGGUGGAGUAACCUUUU
RNAcentral lists this ribosomal RNA (992 nucleotides) under Mammaliicoccus lentus. RNAcentral describes it as "bacterial SSU rRNA". The record is from RNAcentral. Lineage: Bacteria; Bacillati; Bacillota; Bacilli; Caryophanales; Staphylococcaceae.